Molecule: non-coding RNA, 4339 nt
Organism: Leptonychotes weddellii (Weddell seal)
Lineage: Eukaryota; Metazoa; Chordata; Mammalia; Carnivora; Phocidae
Source: RefSeq, a predicted model, not a curated record
UGUGGUUAAAUAAUUUAGAGCAAAGAUUUUGUAUGUUACUAUAUUAGAACUCUUUCCAAAUACUGUAAUAGCCCAGGUAAUCUGGGAUGUUUGUCAUGAUGCUAAUAAAUUUUUUAUGACAGAAAAUACUUAAUUUUAUUGAUUCUAGGAUACCUCUUCUAGGACACUUUAGCCUCCGAAAUCAGUACGUCUCUUUACAAUGAGUAACAUCUUAGAUUUAGUGAAAUAAGAUGUCUUAUAAGGCUUCCGGAGAAGGAAUUUCAUAGUCGUUACAGAAUCACUGUAAUUCUUCAGAUGAGGUUACAGGAUCGCUCUGACUCUCACCUGUGUCUUUCAGAUGCUCUCUGUGUGGGUACGUGUGCAGCCAUCCUCCUUCUUUGAAGUCUCACAUGUGGAAGCAUGCAAGUGACCAAAAUUACAACUACGAACAAGUAAACAAGGCUAUCAAUGAUGCCAUUUCACAGAGUGGCAGGGUUCUGGGGAGAUCCCCUGCAAAGAUGCUCUUAAACAGCAGUGAGGAAAGAGCCGAUCCUGUCACUGGAAGUUCGGGAAAUUUGGUAUCAUCCUCAGAGCUGAUUUCCCAGGCUCCUGGUGAAGUUGCAGGUUCCAACGACAAUGAGAAACUGAGCCCUACAAGUAAUACCUCAUAUAGUUUAGAAAAAAACUCCAGUCUGGCGCCUCCUGGCAUGGAGUAUUGUGUUUUACUCUUCUGUUGUUGUAUUUGUGGCUUCGAAUCUACCAGCAAAGAAAAUCUCUUGGAUCAUAUGAAAGAGCAUGAGGGUGAGAUCGUAAACAUCAUCCUCAAUAAGGACCACAACACCACUUUGAACACAAAUUAGAUUGAAUACUUGAAGAGGAACACGGUAGAAGAGAAAUCCUUUAAACCACGGUUUCACCUUUGCGCUAUCAAGUAACUUACUAGACACAGGAGAAAUAGUUUUGGUGUGGUGUUUGGGUUUUGGUUUUUGGUGGUUUUUUUUUUUGAGGAAGAGAUGCAUGUGACUUUGGAACCAAAUUUGCAGUGUAAUAAAAAAAUUCCAAGUGGAUACACGGUAAUGAUAUUUAAAUAUUCUGAGUGAGGGGAAGUGGGUUGAGGAGGAAGCAAAGAUGUAACCCUGUGUUAACCCUGUUACCUCUUCUUACUGUUGAGUGUAUUUAUUAUUCAAAGCUUAUCAUAGUGUAGAAAUGCAAGCAAAAGAAUUAAGAAAGAGCUUUUCUGGAACUAUUCUAAAACUUCUUGUUGUAAAAGUGUCACAGUCUUAAACAGAGCUUAGUUUUCUUCUUCAUUCUGAGCUUGGACAUGCCAACUCUAGAGGGACGGGCCUCUUGUGAGGGGUGGGGGGCUGCUGUCUGAGGGGUUUUCACUAUCACCAACAGAGUCAACAAGGAUAAGAUACCAGAGGGCUUUGAAAUGAUCUACCUAUCAGUCUUUCCCCAAAUCGAUAGGAUUUAAUCAUAUACUCAGUCUAAGGUACAGUACUUUUUUUUAAAGAUACAUUACUUAUUAAAAAAGAAAGCGACCUCUGAAUCCAAAUCCAGAGUAUAAAUAGGCAUUUAAGAAGUACCUUAUUGUCUUAAAUUUACAGUGAAUUUCUUGUGAGCAAAGGAGAAAAUAGGUGAAUUCCCACCUGCCUCAAACCAAAUCGGAAGGUUCGUGAAAAUGGGGACUCGUUUAGCACAGCACAUUCCCAAAGGCUCUUUUCAAAGUGUUUGACAGAACACUGCAAUUUUCUCCGUAGCUACACAUGCUUUAUAGUCCUCUCUCCCAAACUAGACCAAGUGUGGUAUUGCAAAGGUCUAUUCAAGCAACAAAGUAUGAAAAUUUGCAUUUGAUCAUCAGACCUUGGAAGUACUUGGAACUCUUAAAUAAAAAUCAUUUGGGGGAAGAGGGGCGAAAUUCAAAAGCCCCUUAGAAUGAGUACUGCUGUGGAGAUUUUAUUUCCGGGAGUUUAUUAAUCUAGUUGUACUUAGCAUAAGAGGUAUAAUCAAAUGUGGCUAACCUAUAGUAAAAAUUCAGGUUGUUUAUAAAACUUUUAAUAACAAACAACAUUUGGCAAGCCCACAGGGUUUCUCCUAUCUAGGUUAUUCCAUUUUGUCAGUGUGCAAUAGGACAUAUGGAAGACCAACUACCAGUGCUUCCACACUAAAACUCGCCAUCGCAUACAUGUGAUCUUCUCAUUAAUUACACAGUUUGUAUUAUAAUGUGUUUCAAAGUGAAGAGACGAGGGGUGUUUUUGUUUUUGUUUUGGCUUUUGUUGUACUGAUCAUUUAUUUUUGCAUUGUUUUGUCAAAGUAAAUUCUGCAUACAAGUCAAAAGGCCGGUGCACCAUGCAGUGCACCAUCUUCAUGGUGCUCUUUCUGAACUUGAUUUCUAACAUCUAGUGCUGAGGCUGUGACUCUGAUAAACUUAGAAGACAUUGAAAACAAUUUUUUGAGUGGAAUAUUUUGUAGACAUAUUUUAGGAUAGAAUUCCCUUCCCAAAGUCCAGGUACGGAUUGAAUGAAUUAGUAUUUUUAAGGUCGCAUCAGGAACUACUUAAGUGGGGCCAGGCCAUCUUGAAACAUUGUUUAAGGGUUUUUUUUAAAUCUAAUGUUGAUGAUGAUAUUUAAACAAACGAUUGAUUGUAACUUGGCGGCUGUUUGAUUUAGGUAGCUUUAAUUUAUUUAUGGGAGUUAAUACCACUCUGAUAGGUGAUUUUUAAAAAAGAUAAAAUGAAUUUAUAUAUAUACACUAAAUUAUAUCACCCAAAUUCACUGCAUGUGGAUAUAUAUUUUCUCCUGUUUUCAGAAUUAAAACACAAUUAUACUUCGUUUCAAAUUUAAAUAUUUUAAAUGGUUCCAUUUUUAUCACUCAUUCUAAAAAUUAACAACCUUAGUAGCAGGAUUUUGUUUUAUAAAGUUUCCUUGGUUUUAAUUUCAUGUAAUCAGUUGGAAUAUAUUAAUAACCAAAAAAAUCCCAAAAACAUCAAUAGUGAAUUUUUUAAAUUACAUUCAGUUCCCUAAACCACUUCCAUUGAUUGUUACAUAAAUUUCCCAUUUGGAAUCAUGGAUUUAAAAUUUACCUAACUCAUGGAGAAAAAAUUAACCCAGAGGUUCAAAACCUUUAAACAUUCAUCUGAUCCUAGCCUAGAAUAUCCUCAAACGCUUUCCCCGGGGCUGUAGAAGGAACCAUAUACCAUGGGUGUUCUGUACCUUCCUGUUACCAUUUUGUGGCAAGCCUUAAGUGACCACUGUCUCUACCAAGAACAAUUGAACACUUCUAAAAGUAAUAAUGAAGGCUAAGUAUGCAAUUUUAAUUGUAGAAGAGAUAGGUAUUACACUAAUCAGUAGGAAUUAUCUUUGUAGGAAUAACAUUUUACUUGUAGUAGAUCUUUUGCCAUAAUAAAGCUCAUAGUAUUUGUUUCCCACUCUGAACACUUUACACAGUUCUAAGAUUUGAUAGUAAAAAUAGUUUUUAAAAGAAACAUACUGGAUGUGAGGCAAAGGUGGGGAGGGGGCAAGACGAUGCAUUCUGAUCAUUAUAAGUAAUACUUUCCAGGGGGCCAACAUUUUCGCUCCUCCUCUAAUAACCCAGAAGAUGGUGGGCAGCCCCAGUGUUCUUCCAGUGCCCUGCCUGUAGAUUUUAGUUCCGUGUCCGGCCUGCGGGGUAUACGGACACUGACAGAACAAAAGCCUUUGUUCUAGAUCUCUCAUCCUAUUCGAGGUAGCUCUUGGUGGCUUCUUUAUUUUCUUUGUCUUUUCUCACAAAGCAGAUGGUGGGCACCCAUGUUUACAUUGUAUCUUCCCACAAUGUACUUGGCUUGACAAAGACAAGCAGGCUUCUCUAUUGAGACUUAUUAUAUUUUUAGUUUUCAUAGACACUUAUUUAAUCUUUUUUUUAUUGUACAGCAAGGUGCUCUAAGUAAUAUUCUAUAAAAUAUAUUUAAUAGAAAUUUGAGUUUGAUAUUCAUGGACAUGAAUACAUGUAUUUUUUUAAAAAAUGAGUAUUGUGUAACACUAUGGCAUUGCUUCUAUAGCCAAAGUCUAAAAAUUUCUGGAACACUGACAUGUAAAGACUACAGUUAAUUCUGACACUGUAUCUUAUUAAAAUAGGAUGAUUUGCAUUUUGUAAAAUUAUCCUGCACAUCGAGCUGCAUGCCUUAAAAGCCUAAAACUCUAGGAUUGUGUUCAUGGUAGGACAGUUUAUCUGUUCAACAAACAGUGAAGCAAGGUCUAUAGUGCUUCUUUAACUACCUUUGGAAAUACUGUACAAUGUUAGAAUAAUUUAUUUUGCUUUACAGGAGUUUGUCAUGUAUUGACUUUAAUAUUGUAUUUUGGUAAUAAAUUUUUUGUUAAAAACA